ACGUAGGGUGCAAGCGUUAAUCGGAAUUACUGGGCGUAAAGCGUGCGCAGGCGGUUACGUAAGCCAGGUGUGAAAUCCCCCGGCUUAACCUGGGAAGGGCGUUUGUGACUGGGGGACUUGAGUGCGGCAGAGGGAGGUGGAAUUCCACGUGUAGCAGUGGAAUGCGUAGAGAUGUGGAGGAACACCGAUGGCGAAGGCAGCCCCCUGGGCCAAUACUGACGCUGAGGCGCGAAAGCGUGGGGAGCAAACAG
Molecule: ribosomal RNA, 251 nt
Filed under: uncultured prokaryote
Description: partial 16S ribosomal RNA
Rfam family: Bacterial small subunit ribosomal RNA
Source: RNAcentral